RNAcentral lists this ribosomal RNA (509 nucleotides) under uncultured bacterium. RNAcentral's name for it is "bacterial SSU rRNA". It matches the Rfam family "Bacterial small subunit ribosomal RNA", at positions 28 to 530 of the family's 1533-position model. The record is from RNAcentral.
GACGAACGCUGGCGGCGUGCCUAACACAUGCAAGUCGAGCGGAGUCGAUCGACGGAAGCCUUCGGGCGGAAGAUGGUUGACUUAGCGGCGGAUGGGUGAGUAACGCGUGGGCAACCUGCCUCGAAGACCGGGAUAACAGCCCGAAAGGGCUGCUAAUACCGGAUGUGGUCAAGGAUCCGCAUGGAUUUUUGAUUAAAGGGGAAACCCGUUUCGAGAUGGGCCCGCGUCCUAUCAGCUAGUUGGUGAGGUAAAAGCUCACCAAGGCGACGACGGGUAGCCGGCCUGAGAGGGUGACCGGCCACACUGGAACUGAGACACGGUCCAGACUCCUACGGGGGGCAGCAGUGGGGAAUCUUCCACAAUGGGCGAAAGCCUGAUGGAGCGACGCCGCGUGAGCGAAGAAGGCCUUCGGGUUGUAAAGCUCUGUCUGGAGGGACGAAGGAAGUGACGGUACCUCCGGAGGAAGCCACGGCUAACUACGUGCCAGCAGCCGCGGUAAAGUCACGUCG